GGAGAAGUACUCAAGUGGCUGAAGAGGCGCCCCUGCUAAGGGUGUAGGUCGUGUAAGCGGCGCGAGGGUCAAAAUCCCUCUUCCGCCA
Molecule: transfer RNA, 88 nt
Filed under: Priestia megaterium
Lineage: Bacteria; Bacillati; Bacillota; Bacilli; Caryophanales; Bacillaceae
Description: Bacillus megaterium tRNA-Ser
Rfam family: tRNA
About the family: Transfer RNA (tRNA) molecules are approximately 80 nucleotides in length. Their secondary structure includes four short double-helical elements and three loops (D, anti-codon, and T loops).
Source: RNAcentral